This 97-nucleotide Y RNA is filed under the name Callithrix jacchus (white-tufted-ear marmoset). RNAcentral's name for it is "Y RNA (ENSCJAG00000080904.1)". It matches the Rfam family "Y RNA". Rfam says of the family: Y RNAs are components of the Ro ribonucleoprotein particle (Ro RNP), in association with Ro60 and La proteins. The record is from Rfam by way of RNAcentral. Lineage: Eukaryota; Metazoa; Chordata; Mammalia; Primates; Cebidae.
GGCUGGUCUGAUGGUAGUGGGUUAUUAGAAUUUAAUAACACUAGUGUCACUAAAGUUGGUAUACAACCCCCCCACUGCUAAAUUUGACUGGCUUAAA